Molecule: long non-coding RNA, 1010 nt
Organism: Drosophila albomicans
Lineage: Eukaryota; Metazoa; Arthropoda; Insecta; Diptera; Drosophilidae
Exons: 2
Source: RefSeq, a predicted model, not a curated record
UAUCUACAACUAAAAAUAUUUAAAAAGGGGAGAUUCAAGUUCACACAUAUUUCUUCAGUAAAGUUUUCAACAAGCAGAAUAUUUUUGCAGAAUGUUUUAUGCAACAAAAUUCAAUCCAUUUUACGUUGGCGAAUGUCCUCCAGGACCAAUGAUAUGUCGACCCUUUCGCAGAGGCAGUUUGCCUCAUGGAUGCUCUUCACCUUGUAGAGGAUCUAGUUGUGGUUCUUGUAAUUCAUGUAGUCCUUGUCAUUCAAGCUGUGCUUGGGGAUCCUGCAAUGGCGGUUGCUGCACUUCGACUAGCUGUGGCUGGUAAACAAACGAAUACCAAGAGAGUGCAUCCACCGCCAUUAUGACUGAAAAAAAUUGUGUGAAUUUAAUUUCCUCUUAACAUUACAUUUUAUGCUGAAUCAAUUUCUGACAAAUUAAAGUAAUAAAUUAUUCAAAAUAUGCAUUUAAUAUUGGGAAAUACAAAAUAAUUUCGUAAUAACCGAAAACACAGUAACCAUUGAGAAGCAUUUGAAAAGUUUUUCGAUUCUCUGAGCACUCAUUCCUCUGGAAUGCUUUCGCCUUUGAACAACUUUUAACAUGCAAAUUUAAAUAGAAUCAUCCAAAAUCUGGAGGAAAUCUAAAAAGUUCACACAUUUCUUCAGCCACAAAAGCAAUAGCAUACUGUGAAUGAGCAUUAAGUUUGCGAUAAAAAUAAAACUAAAUUAAUCACAGCAUUAGAUCAACUGACAAUAUCCAGGAAGAUUUUCAAAAUGUUUUACGCAACUACAUUCGAUCCGUUUUAUGUUGGAGAAUGUCCUCCUGGUCCGAUGAUAUUUCGGCCGUUUCGUGGAGGCUGUUGGCCUUACGGUCGCUUUGCGGCUUGCUGUGGUUCUCGAUGUCGUCCUUGUGGUCCCUGUGGUCCUUGUGGUGCAAGCUGUGGUCCAUGUGGUCCCUGUGGACCUUGCGGAGGCGGUUGUUGCACUAGCGCACCUUGCGGUUGGUAGACGAAAAACUUGACUGUG